AACGGCAAACUAAGCGUAUCUGCAGGAUCAGAAUGAGCGCUUCAGAGGAAAUGAUGGCGAUUCUCCAGAACGUCUGGACCAAACUGCAGGGUCUUCCUCAAGACCACCCGCUCACGCAGGCGGCGUUUCUCAUCAUGCUGCUGUUCUUCUUGACAUUCAUCGCUCUGAUCGUGACUGGAUGUGUUUAUGGCCGAUGUGGCUGCUGUAAGACAGGGACCAGAAACAGAGUCUCCGCCGUCUGAAACAUGGGCUCCACAAUAAAGAGGAAGAUGGUGGGGGGAGUUUUGUGUUGUCAAAUCAGAAGAGCUUCAAUGAGAAAAACGUUCAACCUUAAUUAUGAACGUCACAAAUAAACAAUAAAUUCCCAACCUCUCUCAUUAUGGGAAUGCAACCUCUAUGAAACCAGUGCCAAAUACUGCCCUCAAGUGUUGCAGAGAUGAAGAAACCAGAGGCGGACAGUUGUGUGUAGAUCAAAUGCUGUUCUUUUGUACAUUCUGUUCAUCAAAGAAUCCUGGAAAAGCAAAUCAGAAUGAUUUCUGAAGGAUCGUGUGACACUGAAGACUGGAGUAAUGAUGCUGAAAAUACAGCUGCGCAUCACAGGAAUAAAUUACAUUUUAAAAUAUAUUCAUAUAGACAACCGUUUCAAUAUAUUAUUGUUUUUACUGUAUUUUAAUUAAAUAAAUGCAGUCUUGAUGAGCAGAAGUGACAUCUUUUAAAAACAUUAAAAAUCUUACCGACCACAAACUUUUGUAUUAAGAUUAUGUUCUAUAUUCAGGAAAAUGGAGCAGAAUCUAGGUGAAAUUAAAUGGAAAUAAUCAAAUAUGCAUAUCAUCUAAAAUGACAUGUAUUUGAUGUAUAUAAAGUGAGCUAAAUAUUCAUGCAUGUUUCUUCACGUUAUUGUUUUAUUAAACAUUUAUUACACCCUUAAGCCAGAAUUUAAAGUGUCUGUGUUUGAGCUCACCCUUCUUGUUCACAAAAAGCAACCAUUGCCUCAAAG
RNAcentral lists this long non-coding RNA (997 nucleotides) under Sinocyclocheilus grahami. RNAcentral's name for it is "lncRNA (ENSSGRG00000031592.1)". The record is from RNAcentral. Lineage: Eukaryota; Metazoa; Chordata; Actinopteri; Cypriniformes; Cyprinidae.